UACGUAUGGUGCAAGCGCUAUCCGGAUUUACUGGGUGUAAAGGGAGCGUAGGCGGCUUUGCAAGUCUGAUGUGAAAGCCCGUGGCUCAACCACGGUAUUGCAUUGGAAACUGUAGAGUUAGAGUGUCGGAGGGGUAAGUGGAAUUCCUAGUGUAGCGGUGAAAUGCGUAGAUAUUAGGAGGAACACCAGUGGCGAAGGCGGCUUACUGGACGAUUACUGACGCUGAGGCUCGAAAGCGUGGGGAGCAAAC
RNAcentral lists this ribosomal RNA (250 nucleotides) under uncultured prokaryote. Its description in RNAcentral is "partial 16S ribosomal RNA". It matches the Rfam family "Bacterial small subunit ribosomal RNA", at positions 524 to 773 of the family's 1533-position model. The record is from RNAcentral.